Molecule: ribosomal RNA, 578 nt
Filed under: Salmonella enterica subsp. enterica serovar Schwarzengrund
Lineage: Bacteria; Pseudomonadati; Pseudomonadota; Gammaproteobacteria; Enterobacterales; Enterobacteriaceae
Description: partial 23S ribosomal RNA
Rfam family: Bacterial large subunit ribosomal RNA
Source: RNAcentral
AGACCCGAAACCCGGUGAUCUAGCCAUGGGCAGGUUGAAGGUUGGGUAACACUAACUGGAGGACCGAACCGACUAAUGUUGAAAAAUUAGCGGAUGACCUGUGGCUGGGGGUGAAAGGCCAAUCAAACCGGGAGAUAGCUGGUUCUCCCCGAAAGCUAUUUAGGUAGCGCCUCGUGAAUUCAUCUCCGGGGGUAGAGCACUGUUUCGGCUAGGGGGCCAUCCCGGCUUACCAACCCGAUGCAAACUGCGAAUACCGGAGAAUGUUAUCACGGGAGACACACGGCGGGUGCUAACGUCCGUCGUGAAGAGGGAAACAACCCAGACCGCCAGCUAAGGUCCCAAAGUCAUGGUUAAGUGGGAAACGAUGUGGGAAGGCCCAGACAGCCAGGAUGUUGGCUUAGAAGCAGCCAUCAUUUAAAGAAAGCGUAAUAGCUCACUGGUCGAGUCGGCCUGCGCGGAAGAUGUAACGGGGCUAAACCAUGCACCGAAGCUGCGGCAGCGACACUAUGUGUUGUUGGGUAGGGGAGCGUUCUGUAAGCCUGUGAAGGUGGCCUGUGAGGGUUGCUGGAGGUAUCAGA